Molecule: transfer RNA, 73 nt
Filed under: Candidatus Woesearchaeota archaeon
Lineage: Archaea; Nanobdellati; Candidatus Woesearchaeota
Description: tRNA-Gly
Rfam family: tRNA
About the family: Transfer RNA (tRNA) molecules are approximately 80 nucleotides in length. Their secondary structure includes four short double-helical elements and three loops (D, anti-codon, and T loops).
Source: RNAcentral
GCGCCAAUAGUUUAGCCUGGUAGAAUCGGAGCUUCCCAAGCUUCUGGCCCGGGUUCAAAUCCCGGUUGGCGCA